RNAcentral lists this ribosomal RNA (492 nucleotides) under uncultured bacterium. RNAcentral describes it as "partial 16S ribosomal RNA". It matches the Rfam family "Bacterial small subunit ribosomal RNA", at positions 29 to 507 of the family's 1533-position model. The record is from RNAcentral.
AGUGAACGCUGGCGGUAGGCCUAACACAUGCAAGUCGAACGGCAGCACAGUAAGAGCUUGCUCUUACGGGUGGCGAGUGGCGGACGGGUGAGGAAUACAUCGGAAUCUACUUUUUCGUGGGGGACAACGUAGGGAAACUUACGCUAAUACCGCAUACGACCUACGGGUGAAAGCAGGGGAUCUUCGGACCUUGCGCGAUUGAAUGAGCCGAUGUCGGAUUAGCUAGUUGGCGGGGUAAAGGCCCACCAAGGCGACGAUCCGUAGCUGGUCUGAGAGGAUGAUCAGCCACACUGGAACUGAGACACGGUCCAGACUCCUACGGGAGGCAGCAGUGGGGAAUAUUGGACAAUGGGCGCAAGCCUGAUCCAGCCAUACCGCGUGGGUGAAGAAGGCCUUCGGGUUGUAAAGCCCUUUUGUUGGGAAAGAAAAGCAGCAGGUUAAUACCCCGCUGUUCUGACGGUACCCAAAGAAUAAGCACCGGCUAACUUCGCG